This 588-nucleotide ribosomal RNA is filed under the name Triticum aestivum (bread wheat). RNAcentral's name for it is "partial small subunit ribosomal RNA". The record is from RNAcentral. Lineage: Eukaryota; Viridiplantae; Streptophyta; Magnoliopsida; Poales; Poaceae.
AUGUUGUAUUGUUUCAUCAUUGUGUUUUCAUUGUGUUUUCGUUCUAGAAAGGAGUUCACUACAGGCUGCAACAAAACUUACCAUCCACAACGUAAUGGCAGUGAAAAUGUGCGAAAAAAAAUCAAGGGUGAAAUGUUCCUUUACGCAAUUUCAAUUUCAUGCUUAGUUGCACAAUUUUCUCCCGCAAAGGAAAACUGCACCAUAAGUCAAAAAUUUCAACAGCAACAAGAAAAACUGCCCGAGAACCUGGAACUUCUAAUUUUAUCCGGAAGUACUUCACACACGAUUUUUUUACUGAACGACACUAGAAGAUGGGUUGGGCUUGGAUGGUGGGAUAGUGGGUGUCGUCUGUCGUGUGUAAUUCGUGUGGUAAGUGUCGUGCAGGUAGCAGUGCUCAAUUUUAUUUUACCGUUUAUUUACUUUCUGGGUCUUUUUCUCACCGUUUCUAGUCUUUUCGAUGGUCCAAGAGCCAGGAAGAUGAUAGAAGGAUCCCUCUGCUUCACAUGCGUUUGUUGCACGCAUUUGUCACUUGCCACGAAGAAGCACUGGAUGCAACAGUACAACGUACUAAAGGCCAUAGUGGCCUAA